AGAGUUUGAUCCUGGCUCAGGAUGAACUCUGGCGGCGUGCUUAACACAUGCAAGUCGAACGGACUUAUUUUAUGAAGCUUGCUUCGCGAGAUAAGUUAGUGGCGGACGGGUGAGUAACGCGUGGGUAACCUGCCCUAUACAGGGGGACAACAGUUGGAAACGACUGCUAAUACCGCAUAAGCGCACAGCAUCGCAUGAUGCAGUGUGAAAAACUCCGGUGGUAUAGGAUGGACCCGCGUCUGAUUAGCUAGUUGGUAAGGUAACGGCUUACCAAGGCGACGAUCAGUAGCCGGCCUGAGAGGGUGAACGGCCACAUUGGGACUGAGACACGGCCCAAACUCCUACGGGAGGCAGCAGUGGGGAAUAUUGCACAAUGGGGGAAUCCCUGAUGCAGCGACGCCGCGUGAGUGAAGAAGUAUUUCGGUAUGUAAAGCUCUAUCAGCAGGGAAGAAAGACCCGCAAGGGGGAUGACGGUACCUGACUAAGAAGCCCCGGCUAACUACGUGCCAGCAGCCGCGGUAAUACGUAGGGGGCAAGCGUUAUCCGGAUUUACUGGGUGUAAAGGGAGCGCAGACGGAACUGCAAGUCUGAUGUGAAAGCCCGGGGCUCAACCGCGGGACUGCAUCGGAUACUGUAGAUCUGGAGUGCCGGAGGGGCAAGCGGAAUUCCUGGUGUAGCGGUGAAAUGCGUAGAUAUCAGGAGGAACACCGGCGGCGAAGGCGGCUUGCUGGACGGCAACUGACGUUGAGGCUCGAAAGCGUGGGGAGCAAACAGGAUUAGAUACCCUGGUAGUCCACGCUGUAAACGAUGAAU
RNAcentral lists this ribosomal RNA (813 nucleotides) under uncultured bacterium. RNAcentral describes it as "bacterial SSU rRNA". It matches the Rfam family "Bacterial small subunit ribosomal RNA", at positions 8 to 814 of the family's 1533-position model. The record is from RNAcentral.